AGCUUUUGACAUGUCCUGGACGGAUAGCAGAGAUGCUUUCUUCUCUUCGGAGCCAGGAACACAGGUGCUGCAUGGCUGUCGUCAGCUCGUGUCGUGAGAUGUUGGGUUAAGUCCCGCAACGAGCGCAACCCUCGCCUUUAGUUGCCAUCAUUCAGUUGGGCACUCUAGAGGGACUGCCGGUGAUAAGCCGGAGGAAGGUGGGGAUGACGUCAAGUCCUCAUGGCCCUUACAGGCUGGGCUACACACGUGCUACAAUGGCGGUGACAAUGGGAUGCGAAGGGGCGACCCGGAGCAGAUCUCCAAAAGCCGUCUCAGUUCGGAUUGUACUCUGCAACUCGAGUGCAUGAAGGUGGAAUCGCUAGUAAUCGUAGAUCAGAACGUACGGGAA
This 388-nucleotide ribosomal RNA is filed under the name uncultured Alphaproteobacteria bacterium. Its description in RNAcentral is "bacterial SSU rRNA". It matches the Rfam family "Bacterial small subunit ribosomal RNA", at positions 976 to 1365 of the family's 1533-position model. Lineage: Bacteria; Pseudomonadati; Pseudomonadota; Alphaproteobacteria. The record is from RNAcentral.